GAUGAACGCUGGCGGCGUGCCUAAUACAUGCAAGUCGAGCGAACGGACGAGAAGCUUGCUUCUCUGAUGUUAGCGGCGGACGGGUGAGUAACACGUGGAUAACCUACCUAUAAGACUGGGAUAACUUCGGGAAACCGGAGCUAAUACCGGAUAAUAUUUUGAACCGCAUGGUUCAAAAGUGAAAGACGGUCUUGCUGUCACUUAUAGAUGGAUCCGCGCUGCAUUAGCUAGUUGGUAAGGUAACGGCUUACCAAGGCAACGAUGCAUAGCCGACCUGAGAGGGUGAUCGGCCACACUGGAGCUGAGACACGGUCCAGACUCCUAAGGGAGGCAGCAGUAGGGAAUCUUCCGCAAGGGGCGAAAGCCUGACGGAGCAACGCAGCGUGAGUGAUGAAGGUCUUCGGAUCGUAAAACUCUGUUAUUAGGGAAGAACAUAUGUGUAAGUAACUGUGCACAUCUUGACGGUACCUAAGCAGAAAGCCACGGCUAACUACGU
RNAcentral lists this ribosomal RNA (496 nucleotides) under uncultured bacterium. Its description in RNAcentral is "partial 16S ribosomal RNA". It matches the Rfam family "Bacterial small subunit ribosomal RNA", at positions 28 to 506 of the family's 1533-position model. The record is from RNAcentral.